GUGCUCACUUCAGCAGCACAUAUACUAAAAUUGUAAUGAUACAGAGAUUAGCACAGCCCCUGUGCAAUGACACACAAAUUCAUGAGGCAGUCCAUAUUUUU
Molecule: small nuclear RNA, 101 nt
Organism: Loxodonta africana (African savanna elephant)
Lineage: Eukaryota; Metazoa; Chordata; Mammalia; Proboscidea; Elephantidae
Source: Ensembl